RNAcentral lists this ribosomal RNA (440 nucleotides) under uncultured bacterium. Its description in RNAcentral is "partial 16S ribosomal RNA". It matches the Rfam family "Bacterial small subunit ribosomal RNA", at positions 338 to 795 of the family's 1533-position model. The record is from RNAcentral.
CCUACGGGGGGCAGCAGUGGGGAAUAUUGCACAAUGGGGGAAACCCUGAUGCAGCGACGCCGCGUGAGUGAAGAAGUAUUUCGGUACGUAAAGCUCUAUCAGCAGGGAAGAAAAUGACGGUACCUGACUAAGAAGCCCCGGCUAACUACGUGCCAGCAGCCGCGGUAAUACGUAGGGGGCAAGCGUUAUCCGGAUUUACUGGGUGUAAAGGGAGCGUAGACGGCAGCGCAAGUUUGGAGUGAAAUCCCAUGGCUUAACCAUGGAACUGCUUUGGAAACUGUGCAGCUAGAGUGCAGGAGAGGUAAGCGGAAUUCCUAGUGUAGCGGUGAAAUGCGUAGAUAUUAGGAGGAACACCAGUGGCGAAGGCGGCUUACUGGACUGUAACUGACGUUGAGGCUCGAAAGCGUGGGGAGCAAACAGGAUUAGAUACCCGAGUAGUC